This 253-nucleotide unclassified non-coding RNA is filed under the name Hevea brasiliensis (rubber tree). The record is from RNAcentral. Lineage: Eukaryota; Viridiplantae; Streptophyta; Magnoliopsida; Malpighiales; Euphorbiaceae.
UCACGUCCGGGAGGAUUAACGGGUCCGGUUCUUCACACUCGAUGCAUCUGUAGAGACGCGGCCCAACGCCGGUUUGUGGCAAUACAAGCCUUACCGGAAAAUAGCAGUUCGGACAGACGGGGGUCGUUGAUCGCGCCAUCAUGCAACUGUGAGAUCAGAAACUGCACGCGUCAAUUGGAACCAAAAACGUCGUUCGUUUGACGGCAUGGAGCAGUGAAUUGUGGGGAAGAAUGAGAUCCGCGUGCAAUCGCGA